AGAGUGCCUGAUUAACAAAAUUAACAAGUCCAUAGUGGUUCCAUUGCCAACAAAAUAUUCUGGUGCAUUCAGAAGCUAUUGUUGCUGAAUGAAAGGGAGAGCUGAGAAAGUGCAAUUCAAUACAACCUUGGAAACAAUGAAUUCCUAGGCAGAGCAUGGAGAAAAACAGA
Long non-coding RNA from Vigna radiata var. radiata (mung bean), 170 nucleotides. RefSeq lists it as uncharacterized. The record is from RefSeq and is a predicted model, not a curated record. The transcript is spliced from 2 exons. NCBI's taxonomy places the organism in Eukaryota, Viridiplantae, Streptophyta, Magnoliopsida, Fabales, Fabaceae.